This 541-nucleotide ribosomal RNA is filed under the name Erysiphe kusanoi. RNAcentral's name for it is "eukaryotic LSU rRNA". It matches the Rfam family "Eukaryotic large subunit ribosomal RNA", at positions 102 to 651 of the family's 3401-position model. Lineage: Eukaryota; Fungi; Ascomycota; Leotiomycetes; Helotiales; Erysiphaceae. The record is from RNAcentral.
UAACAGCUCAAAUUUGAAAUCUGGCUCCCUCGGAGUCCGAGUUGUAAUUUGUAGAAGAUGCUUUGGGUUGUGGGUUCGGCCUAAGUUCCUUGGAACAGGACGUCAUAGAGGGUGAGAAUCCCGUAUGUGGCCCGAGGCCUGCGCCCGUGUAAAGCUCUUUCGACGAGUCGAGUUGUUUGGGAAUGCAGCUCAAAAUGGGUGGUAAAUUUCAUCUAAAGCUAAAUAUGGGCCAGAGACCGAUAGCGCACAAGUAGAGUGAUCGAAAGAUGAAAAGCACUUUGGAAAGAGAGUUAAACAGUACGUGAAAUUGUUGAAAGGGAAGCGCUUGUACCCAGACUUGGGCGCUGCUGAUCAUCCAGAGUUCUCUCUGGUGCACUCGACAGCGCACAGGCCAGCAUCGGUUCGGGUGGCUGGAGAAAGACCGGAGGAACGUAGCUCCCUUUCGGGGGAGUGUUUAUAGCCUCUGGUGCCAUGCAGCCCAGCCGGACCGAGGACCGCGCCUUCGGGCUAGGAUGCUGGCGUAAUGGGUGUAAGCGACCCG